AGAGUUUGAUCAUGGCUCAGGAUGAACGCUAGCGGCAGGCUUAAUACAUGCAAGUCGAGGGGCAGCGCAGCUAGCAAUAGUGGGCGGCGACCGGCAAACGGGUGCGGAACACGUACGCAACCUUCCCAGAACUGGUGAAUAGCCUUCCGAAAGGGAGAUUAAUACACCGUAACUUAAUUGAGUGGCAUCACUUGGUUAAUAUAGCUCCGGCGGUUCUGGAUGGGCGUGCGCCUGAUUAGGUAGUUGGCGGGGUAACGGCCCACCAAGCCUGCGAUCAGUAACUGGUGUGAGAGCACGACCAGUCACACGGGCACUGAGACACGGGCCCGACUCCUACGGGAGGCAGCAGUAAGGAAUAUUGGUCAAUGGACGCAAGUCUGAACCAGCCAUGCCGCGUGAAGGAUGAAGGCCCUCUGGGUUGUAAACUUCUUUUACAGGGGACGAAAAAGGGUCUUUCCAGAUCAACUGACGGUACCCUGGAAUAAG
This 486-nucleotide ribosomal RNA is filed under the name uncultured Niastella sp. RNAcentral's name for it is "bacterial SSU rRNA". It matches the Rfam family "Bacterial small subunit ribosomal RNA", at positions 8 to 490 of the family's 1533-position model. The record is from RNAcentral. Lineage: Bacteria; Pseudomonadati; Bacteroidota; Chitinophagia; Chitinophagales; Chitinophagaceae.